RNAcentral lists this ribosomal RNA (490 nucleotides) under uncultured bacterium. RNAcentral describes it as "bacterial SSU rRNA". It matches the Rfam family "Bacterial small subunit ribosomal RNA", at positions 28 to 509 of the family's 1533-position model. The record is from RNAcentral.
GAUGAACGCUAGCGGCAGGCUUAAUACAUGCAAGUCGUGGGGCAGCAGGUUUGUAGCAAUACAGAUGCUGGCGACCGGCAAACGGGUGCGGAACACGUACAGAACCUUCCUUUGAGCGGGGAAUAGCCCAGAGAAAUUUGGAUUAAUACCCCAUAGUAUAAUGAAGUGGCAUCACUUUAUUAUUAAAGAUUUAUCACUCGAAGAUGGCUGUGCGGCUGAUUAGGUAGUUGGCGGGGUAAAGGCCCACCAAGCCUGCGAUCAGUAACUGGUGUGAGAGCACGACCAGUCACACGGGCACUGAGACACGGGCCCGACUCCUACGGGAGGCAGCAGUAAGGAAUAUUGGUCAAUGGAGGCAACUCUGAACCAGCCAUGCCGCGUGGAGGAUGAAGGUCCUCUGGAUUGUAAACUUCUUUUGCAUGGGACGAAAAAACUUAAUUUAUUAAGGACUGACGGUACCAUGAGAAUAAGCACCGGCUAACUCCGUGCC